Molecule: long non-coding RNA, 1021 nt
Filed under: Cricetulus griseus (Chinese hamster)
Lineage: Eukaryota; Metazoa; Chordata; Mammalia; Rodentia; Cricetidae
Description: lncRNA (ENSCGRG00015029080.1)
Source: RNAcentral
CAGAAAAGGCGAUCAGAAGGUGUUUCUCACAAGCUCUCUCAGCAGCUUCUCUCCAGCCCCGAGGAUAAAGUCCGAUGGUUAAUUGCAGGCGCUGUUCCCAGAGAGACGGUGUGCCGCCCCCGACCCGCCCUCAGUUUCUAAGAAAGAUGUUCUGAGACGACCACUUUUGACCCUUUAUCUUCCCCAUCGGGGUUCUCUAGAGGUCCUGGGGAAGACCUCGGUCACUUAGUCUGAGUUCAACCAGACCAGGAACAAGACUGGACUAAAAACAGUCAAUGGCACAGCUGGGCUAGUGGAUAAGACAGUACGAGAGAAUUCCAGCGAUCCUGUACUUUGUGUAACCAUCCUGCCCUGGCCCCCAGCUACCAUCACCCCUUAAGCCAGACCUGAGAAUCUGCAGAAACAAAUUCAAGCUGGCUUGAAUUUGUUGUUCCUUGAGGAACCACAAAAUAGUGCAUCUGGUGAAGGGAUCUGGACAGACGGACGUCCUAGGAUUAGGAGAGAAGAAAGGUCUCCACUGAAGCAGUCAGCGAGCUCCCUCCAGGACACAAGAGUUUUGCAUUCUGGAGGAGUUCCAGAGUACACCAGCCUGCCAUAGCAGUCAAGGUGGCAGGAGCUUGCAGCAGUCUGUCCCAUUGUAUCCAGCCAGGAAGAAGAAAGCUAUGAAUGUUCAAGCACAUUGGAAGAGGUUUCGGAGUUGAAUGAACCAGAACUUAGGGGAAAACAUUCGAUUUUAGCAGCAACAGAAGACUCUAUCUAUCCACACGGCACUUGUCCCUCAGGCUUGAAGAGAUUAGAAGCUAAUAAUUUAUAUUGAAAUCCAAAGUCCUAUUUCUGGUCUCUGUAUUUUGACGGACAGUUCUGAAAAUCCAGACUGAUUUGAAAACCGAGAACUGUUUAAGGACAUCAGCAGUAAUUCCUCCAUUAGAGGCUAAGAAAGGAGAGAGUGGGGGUCCCAAAGCCAGGGAGGGGCAGGGUCCCCAGGAAAGCCACGCCCCUUCCUCUCACCACCACUUCUAAU